GGGGAUAACAGUCAGAAAUGACUGCUAAUACCGCAUAAGACCACAGCACCGCAUGGUGCAGGGGUAAAAACUCCGGUGGUACAGGAUGGACCCGCGUCUGAUUAGCUGGUUGGUGAGGUAACGGCUCACCAAGGCGACGAUCAGUAGCCGGCUUGAGAGAGUGAACGGCCACAUUGGGACUGAGACACGGCCCAAACUCCUACGGGAGGCAGCAGUGGGGAAUAUUGCACAAUGGGGGAAACCCUGAUGCAGCGACGCCGCGUGAGUGAAGAAGUAUCUCGGUAUGUAAAGCUCUAUCAGCAGGGAAGAAAAUGACGGUACCUGACUAAGAAGCCCCGGCUAACUACGUGCCAGCAGCCGCGGUAAUACGUAGGGGGCAAGCGUUAUCCGGAAUUACUGGGUGUAAAGGGUGCGUAGGUGGUAUGGCAAGUCAGAAGUGAAAACCCAGGGCUUAACUCUGGGACUGCUUUUGAAACUGUCAGACUGGAGUGCAGGAGAGGUAAGCGGAAUUCC
This 513-nucleotide ribosomal RNA is filed under the name uncultured Lachnospiraceae bacterium. Its description in RNAcentral is "bacterial SSU rRNA". It matches the Rfam family "Bacterial small subunit ribosomal RNA", at positions 139 to 670 of the family's 1533-position model. Lineage: Bacteria; Bacillati; Bacillota; Clostridia; Lachnospirales; Lachnospiraceae. The record is from RNAcentral.